CGAACGAACGCUGGCGGCGUGCUUAAUACAUGCAAGUCGAACGUGAAUCCCGACUUCGGUUGGGAUGAAAGUGGCGAACGGGUGAGUAACACGUAAGUAAUCUGCCUUCAAGUUUGGGAUAACCCUGCCAACGCGGGGCUAAUACCGGAUGUGGUCCAGCUGACACAUGUUGGCUGGAUUAAAGGUCGCGAGGCCGCUUGGAGAUGAGCUUGCGGCCCAUUAGCUAGUUGGUGAGGUAACGGCCCACCAAGGCAGGGAUGGGUAGCCGGCCUGAGAGGGUGUACGGCCACAUUGGGACUGAGAUACGGCCCAGACUCCUACGGGAGGCAGCAGUAGGGAAUUUUGCGCAAUGGGGGAAACCCUGACGCAGCGACGCCGCGUGGAGGAUGACGGCCUUCGGGUUGUAAACUCCUGUCAGAAGGGACGAAAUCCCGCAAGGGACUGACGGUACCUUCAGAGGAAGCCCCGGCUAACUACGUG
This 480-nucleotide ribosomal RNA is filed under the name uncultured bacterium. RNAcentral's name for it is "bacterial SSU rRNA". It matches the Rfam family "Bacterial small subunit ribosomal RNA", at positions 27 to 507 of the family's 1533-position model. The record is from RNAcentral.